RNAcentral lists this ribosomal RNA (745 nucleotides) under uncultured bacterium. RNAcentral's name for it is "bacterial SSU rRNA". It matches the Rfam family "Bacterial small subunit ribosomal RNA", at positions 8 to 740 of the family's 1533-position model. The record is from RNAcentral.
AGAGUUUGAUCCUGGCUCAGAUUGAACGCUGGCGGCAGGCCUAACACAUGCAAGUCGAGCGGCAGCGGGAAAGUAGCUUGCUACUUUUGCCGGCGAGCGGCGGACGGGUGAGUAAUGCCUGGGAAAUUGCCCAGUCGAGGGGGAUAACAGCUGGAAACGACUGCUAAUACCGCAUACGCCCUACGGGGGAAAGCAGGGGACCUUCGGGCCUUGCGCGAUUGGAUAUGCCCAGGUGGGAUUAGCUAGUUGGUGAGGUAAUGGCUCACCAAGGCGACGAUCCCUAGCUGGUCUGAGAGGAUGAUCAGCCGCACUGGAACUGAGACACGGUCCAGACUCCUACGGGAGGCAGCAGUGGGGAAUAUUGCACAAUGGGGGAAACCCUGAUGCAGCCAUGCCGCGUGUGUGAAGAAGGCCUUCGGGUUGUAAAGCACUUUCAGCGAGGAGGAAAGGUCAGUAGCUAAUACCUGCUGGCUGUGACGUUACUCGCAGAAGAAGCACCGGCUAACUCCGUGCCAGCAGCCGCGGUAAUACGGAGGGUGCAAGCGUUAAUCGGAAUUACUGGGCGUAAAGCGCACGCAGGCGGUUGGAUAAGUUAGAUGUGAAAGCCCCGGGCUCAACCUGGGAAUUGCAUUUAAAACUGUCCGGCUAGAGUCUUGUAGAGGGGGGUAGAAUUCCAGGUGUAGCGGUGAAAUGCGUAGAGAUCUGGAGGAAUACCGGUGGCGAAGGCGGCCCCCUGGACAAAGAC